Molecule: long non-coding RNA, 668 nt
Organism: Prionailurus viverrinus (fishing cat)
Lineage: Eukaryota; Metazoa; Chordata; Mammalia; Carnivora; Felidae
Exons: 3
Source: RefSeq, a predicted model, not a curated record
GAUAAGAGCUGAGUGUGGGGAGAGUGAAGCAAAGCUUCUACUGAGUGGAUGAGGAGAUGGACAGUGUCUUCCAAGGAUGUCUCUUCUGAGGGUGAACAGAGGAGGAGAUCAUACACAUAUUGCAAAAAGGAAGAAUUCUGAAAAAAAAAAUGACAUCAGCAAAUCAGCCUUCAGAAUUUGAGAAAAAUAGGUAGGGCUUUUGGUAUAGCCCUGAGGCAUAACAGUCCAGGUCCGCCUAACCAUAAAUUGGGUAAGAAGAACAACCAGAGGUGCACCCAGCCCAUCAACAUCAACUCUUAUUGUGCACUGUUCAAAACAGUAACCACUAGCCAAAUGUGGCUAUGUAAAUGUAAGAACAUUAAGAUGAAAUAAAAACAAAAAUUCAGUUCCUUAGUUAUACUAGCCACACUGCAACUGCUCAACAGCCAGAUGAGGCUAGUGGCUACCAUUAUCCAUGGUAGAGAAACAUUUCCAUCAUCACAGAAAUUUUUAUUGCACAGCAUUGUUCUUAUCUUUUCUAGACACUGCUACCCUGUAUGUACCUAAAAGAAGCUAGAACUAUGUCCAUGAGUUCAUGAGUUCAAGUCCUGCAUUGGGCUCCACACCCAGCAUGGAGCCUACUUAAACAAGAACAACAAUAAACAACUAGACUAUACCCUCUCCCACCU